GACCACACAUAAGCCCACUCCUUGCAAGUCCAUACAUAGGCACACCCAUUUGAAGUCCACCAAGAUUUGGCCCACGUUUUGUGAGUCCACCAUGCGUAGGCCCACCCCUCGCAAGCCUAUUACGCAUGCAUCUACCCGAGCAAGUCCAUUAUGCAUAAAUCCAACCCUUAUGUUUUUAGCUAUCCCAUCUUGAGCUUGUUGCAUUCCAACUCUAUUCCUGUUUGUUGCUUCACCAAUGACUCUGUGUACUAUCCUAGUAGGAUUCCUUGAUGGACCAGUAGAAAACUAUUUGAUAUGCUAGCUUUAUUCCCACUUUUUCUCUUUACCUAUAGCAUAAGAGGCAUACAUAAGAGAGGGCAUAGUGAGUAUUUCAUAAUAUGAUUUAAAGUGCCGUGGCACGGGGGCGUGCCGCUGUCCGCCUGGCAAGGUACGGCACCGGCACGCUUGCGUGCCGACACAUGGUACGCUUGCGUGCCGAUGGAUACGCACCACCUCCUACUGGCAUGCUUUGGCACGGACUUAUUUCAGUUUUUUUAAUUUCAAUAAGCUCUUAUAAUAUUAUUUUGAAAGAAUUAAUUAAAUAAUAAUUAUGAAUAUUUGCUAUGUAUAGUUUACUA
This 617-nucleotide long non-coding RNA is filed under the name Ananas comosus (pineapple). RNAcentral's name for it is "long non-coding RNA (ACOM_LNC009106)". The record is from RNAcentral. Lineage: Eukaryota; Viridiplantae; Streptophyta; Magnoliopsida; Poales; Bromeliaceae.